CUUUCUAAAGGAGCUGAAAAACAUGAUGACAUGUAACGAAACCUCCUCAGGGCUGCAGUUUGGUAUUCGGUGGGGAAGCAGCAGGGACUCGGAGGUUCACUGUGGCUGCUCAGGUGGUACGGGGAGCUCCUAUCCCUUGGCACUUGCCGGCAGUACAACACGCCGUAGUAACACAAGAAGAAUUAAGUUGCUCAGAUGCACGCCAGAGCGUAAAAACAACUGUCUAUACAGUCACCGUGCCUCGGCCAGCGUACCUGUCUGCUGCACGCCCUGCACACGGGUAGCUGUUGUUAUGCUCGUGACUUGGCAUUCACUUCUACCCUUUGUGAGUCUGCUCAGGAGGCAUGGAUCCUGAUCCUCUUGUGAUUCUUUGAAAAGAUGGGAUAUUUCAAAGUAACCGUCAAAACAGAGACUUUUCUUAAUUGGUCACCGAGAUUUUCGGCUCGUAGCCUGUGGCUGCCAUGGGGAUAUCAUUUCAUCACUGUGGGAGCGAAGGCGAUCGAGCUGAUGGCACACGGGAGAGGCAGCCCGUGCGACUGUCAGCGUGAGGAGGAAUCACGUUCGUGAGAGAACGUCUCUGCUAAGGUGCCAUCCCCGCUCUGGAAAGUAGGUAAAAGCCCGCUGAAGGCUGAGCAGCCAGUCUCGGGCUCGUGCACAGGCUGGGCUGCGUAAGGUGCGGGGGAGUGUAAUCGCCCAUUGUUUGGAAGGAAGAGUUUUGAUGUAAUUAUACCCUUCAGCCAUUGCCACACUUUCCUCUCUUUCAUCUUCAGGCAGGUCCACACGUUCAGAUGUGAAGCUGGAAAUGAAACACAUCUGGAUAUCCAAAAAUGACAACAGACUUUUAUUUGCUAUUUUUGGUAUACAACAAAAGCUUUGUAUCUUGCUAAUUGAACAUAUGGGCUCUCAGUUGCUUUUUUCCCCUGCUAAACUCUACUUUUCCAUGUGUCAUCAUACGAUUCCAACAUUUGAUCUGUCGAGUCCAUCUUGGCCAUGUGUUUGUUGUAAUCUGCUACACAUGUAGGCUUGUUUUCGUGUGCGUCCUGACCUCCAGUGAGAGCUGCAGUUGUUUCCAUCAUGGAUAGUGUUGAGGAGUUACACAUCCUUUUUAUCAGUGUAUUUGGCCACCGGCAGCUCCUCGCAGUGCGGAUCAGGGAUCCUGCCAAGCCUCUGAAAGCUCAGUGUUCAGGGUAGCCAUAUCUGUUUGUAUUGUGAUACCAGAUGCUGGUUUUUUUCAAUGUAACAGAAUAAGAAGGGAGAACUUCCCCAAAAUAGAAAAUAUCCACAUAAGUAAAACCCAGCGUCUCACCGAGGGAAGCUGAGGGUCAGCGUUAGCUAGUUAGAGUUGGAGCGUGAGGAAGGGAUGGAGGUGGAUGGCUGGUUGAUGGUCAUCCGACAGACCUGUGCAAACCGGGCAGGGGUCGGCAUUGCAGUGGCCAGCGUGGAAAAGCAGCGUUUGCUUGUGCAGAAGGCAGCGUGCUCUUCGGAGUCUGCGGCAGAAGGGUCUGCGGGAUAAAACGAGAAAAAUGCUCUAUCUGGAGUGAAGGACUGAGCCCUUCAGAGCAGGCUGUGCCAUAAAUACCCACUGGGAACUUGGCCCCACUGCACGGACGUUCGUGAGACUUGACUCAUUACGAAUACAGGACCUCUUGAUUAGCAUGAAAGAUUCGUCAUCAGAAUUUUUUUGUGCCUGUGGGGGAUCCACUUACUUAUUUCCAACUACAGCUCUAAAUUGUUCCCAUGCUUCAUCAUGGUUUGAUUAGCUAAAAUCUUCGAGUAACUGUUUGAGGCACUUACCAUAACUAAAAAACAGGUGACAAUGAUCAAACCAUAGGGUAUGGAGGGUAUGGAGCCCGAAUGUGGUUGGAGGCAACCCCGUUACAGGUUCCUGAGCACUGUAAAGACGUAUCACCUGCACGCUUUUAAAGUGCUGAGCACUGCUGCAUAUUGUUCCCCAGGAUAAGUGACAAAUUAAUGCGACAAAAAAAAGGGGUAACUGCAUUUAAUUAAUUGCCAGCGCACAUGCAUGCGUAGCCCCAGCCUGUGCAUCCAUGUCAUGUUACAGCUGUGCUAAUAGUCACCUUUCUUGCAGUAAAUAUUGGGCCAAUUUCAUCACAUUUGGUUUAUGUUUAUCAACACGGCACUUAAGCAAUGGGGUUUUGGUUGCAAUAAGGGAAAGAGUCCAUUUCUGUCUAGCCCCGAGGUGAGGGAAUGAGAAGCCAUAUGUGGUGUGGCCCGGCUGGAGGCUCUCGUCUCUCCGUGUUGCAACACACCCGCCUGACUGCAGCAAAAAUCAAAUAUUUGUACUUGAAGACAGAGCUGAGGCAAUUUCCACCAGGAAUAUGCCGUCUCUCAACAAUUGAAAAAUAUUAUACAUGCGUCGUGCAUUAUUCUGUUCAGUUCUUGACAUAUGCUGCUGAGCAAUUUUGUCUUGAACUCCCUUUUUCUUUUUAGCCAAGAGAGUAACAUGAAACAAAUCUAAGAUUGCACUCGAGGACUUCCCAAUCAACUGAAGAAUGAACUCUGAAGCAGAAGUUGUAUUUAACAAAACGGACUUACAAUUAUUAUUCAUAAAUGCACAUGUUAUGGCUGCAGUUGUUUCACUUCUUUCUUUUACAACCCUAUAAAUUGUAUACAGAACAUAAAGGCUUUACUUCUUAAAUAAAUGUUUUGCAGCCGCCAUAAAUUAUCUUUCUUGCAUUCAUAAUGAAAAAAAAAUCACUGUUUGAUGUUUUAUAUCCUCUUCCCUAAAAUGUAAAAUAUGGUAGUUGGAGCCAG
Molecule: long non-coding RNA, 2775 nt
Organism: Aquila chrysaetos chrysaetos
Lineage: Eukaryota; Metazoa; Chordata; Aves; Accipitriformes; Accipitridae
Exons: 3
Source: RefSeq, a predicted model, not a curated record